RNAcentral lists this ribosomal RNA (778 nucleotides) under uncultured Selenomonas sp. RNAcentral's name for it is "bacterial SSU rRNA". It matches the Rfam family "Bacterial small subunit ribosomal RNA", at positions 65 to 819 of the family's 1533-position model. The record is from RNAcentral. Lineage: Bacteria; Bacillati; Bacillota; Negativicutes; Selenomonadales; Selenomonadaceae.
AACGGGGAUUUUUAUUUCGGUAGAAAUUCUAGUGGCAAACGGGUGAGUAACGCGUAGACAACCUGCCUUUCCGAUGGGGACAACAGUUCGAAAGGACUGCUAAUACCGAAUGACGUGUCUCCUUCGCAUGGAAGAGAUACCAAAGACGGCCUCUAUUUAUAAGCUGUCGCGGAAAGAUGGGUCUGCGUCUGAUUAGCUGGUUGGAGGGGUAACGGCCCACCAAGGCGACGAUCAGUAGCCGGUCUGAGAGGAUGAACGGCCACAUUGGGACUGAGAAACGGCCCAAACUCCUACGGGAGGCAGCAGUGGGGAAUCUUCCGCAAUGGACGAAAGUCUGACGGAGCAACGCCGCGUGAGUGAAGAAGGUCUUCGGAUCGUAAAGCUCUGUUGUACGGGACGAAUGUUGAAGGCGUGAAUAAUGCCAUCAAAUGACGGUACUGUACGAGGAAGCCACGGCUAACUACGUGCCAGCAGCCGCGGUAAUACGUAGGUGGCGAGCGUUGUCCGGAAUUAUUGGGCGUAAAGGGAGCGCAGGUGGGAAGGUAAGUCUGUUUUAAAAGCGUCGGGCUCAACCCGAUGAGGGAACAGAAACUAUUUUUCUUGAGUGCAGGAGAGGAAAGCGGAAUUCCUAGUGUAGCGGUGAAAUGCGUAGAUAUUAGGAGGAACACCAGUGGCGAAGGCGGCUUUCUGGACUGUAACUGACACUGAGGCUCGAAAGCCAGGGGAGCGAACGGGAUUAGAUACCCCGGUAGUCCUGGCCGUAAACGAUGGAUACUAG